This 84-nucleotide transfer RNA is filed under the name bioreactor metagenome. RNAcentral's name for it is "tRNA-Tyr". It matches the Rfam family "tRNA". From Rfam's summary of the family: Transfer RNA (tRNA) molecules are approximately 80 nucleotides in length. Their secondary structure includes four short double-helical elements and three loops (D, anti-codon, and T loops). The record is from RNAcentral.
GCCAGGAUACUCAAGCGGUCAACGAGGGCAGUCUGUAAAACUGCUGGCAAUAGCCUACGUAGGUUCGAACCCUACUCCUGGCAC